This is a non-coding RNA of Lupinus angustifolius (narrow-leaved blue lupine), 221 nucleotides long. The record is from Rfam. Lineage: Eukaryota; Viridiplantae; Streptophyta; Magnoliopsida; Fabales; Fabaceae.
ACGACCUUACUUGAACAGGAUCUGUUCUAUAGGCUCGUACCAUUGUGUCCCUGAGUUCUAAGGAGACAAGAACCUAAGCCUGGUUGAUGAACCAUGACCGUGUGAUCAGAGCGUGAUUAAUGGCUCAUUGAACUCUCAACCGAGGGUUUCAACUUGGGCAAUGGAGGAUCGUUCUCGACCACCUAUGUGGUUGGGAUGGUCACACGGUUGUCUGACAGACC